UACGUAGGGGGCGAGCGUUGUCCGGAUUCAUUGGGCGUAAAGAGCUCGUAGGCGGCUUGUCAAGUCGGGUGUGAAAACUCCAGGCUCAACCUGGAGACGCCACUCGAGACUGUCAUGGCUAGAGUCCGGUAGGGGAUCACGGAAUUCCUGGUGUAGCGGUGAAAUGCGCAGAUAUCGGGAGGAACACCGGUGGCGAAGGCGGUUCUCUGGGCCUGUACUGACGCUGAGGAGCGAAAGCGUGGGGAGCGAACAGG
RNAcentral lists this ribosomal RNA (254 nucleotides) under uncultured bacterium. Its description in RNAcentral is "partial 16S ribosomal RNA". It matches the Rfam family "Bacterial small subunit ribosomal RNA", at positions 524 to 776 of the family's 1533-position model. The record is from RNAcentral.